GACAGAGGUGCCGAGCGUUAGGCGGAAUCACUGGGCUUAAAGCGUGUGUAGGUGGAUGUCUAAGUACCUUGUGAAAUCCCACGGCUUAACCGUGGAACGGCUCGGUAUACUGGAUGUCUUGAGCCAGCUAGGGGCUACCGGAACAAAUGGUGGAGUGGUGAAAUGCGUAGAUAUCAUUUGCAACGCCAAUGGUGAAAACAGGUAGCUGGGGCUGUGCUGACACUGAGACACGAAAGCCAGGGGAGCGAACGGG
This 253-nucleotide ribosomal RNA is filed under the name uncultured bacterium. Its description in RNAcentral is "partial 16S ribosomal RNA". It matches the Rfam family "Bacterial small subunit ribosomal RNA", at positions 524 to 776 of the family's 1533-position model. The record is from RNAcentral.